AGAGUUUGAUCAUGGCUCAGGACGAACGCUGGCGGCGUGCUUAACACAUGCAAGUCGAGCGGAAAGGCCCUUUCGGGGGUACUCGAGCGGCGAACGGGUGAGUAACACGUGAGUAAUCUGCCCUUGGCUUUGGGAUAACUACCGGAAACGGUGGCUAAUACCGGAUAUGACCAUGCUCGGCAUCGGGUGUGGUGGAAAGUUUUUUCGGCCAGGGAUGUGCUCGCGGCCUAUCAGCUUGUUGGUGGGGUAAUGGCCUACCAAGGCUUCGACGGGUAGCCGGCCUGAGAGGGUGACCGGCCACACUGGGACUGAGACACGGCCCAGACUCCUACGGGAGGCAGCAGUGGGGAAUAUUGGACAAUGGGCGGAAGCCUGAUCCAGCAACGCCGCGUGAGGGAUGACGGCCUUCGGGUUGUAAACCUCUUUCAGUACCGACGAAGCGCCGAUGAUGGUGGUGACGGUAGGUACAGAAGAAGCACCGGCCAACUACGUG
RNAcentral lists this ribosomal RNA (493 nucleotides) under uncultured bacterium. RNAcentral describes it as "bacterial SSU rRNA". It matches the Rfam family "Bacterial small subunit ribosomal RNA", at positions 8 to 507 of the family's 1533-position model. The record is from RNAcentral.